AAUGAAGGCCAACAUGGCUGCGGUGUAGAGAUGUGAUGAGAAGGGGCAGGACCAGGAACCAUGCAUUGGGCUGGGACACCCCUGGAAGAGGAGCAGGACCAGUGGAGAGAGAAUGUUGCUGAGCUCCAGCUUGGCUGUGCUGGUCUCGAGGUGUCACAGACAUCUAUGAAGUCUGCUUCUGGUUUCCAGGACAAAGCCAGGCUCAGAGGAAGAAAAAGGACUGGCUGAGGUCGCUUGGCCAGGAUGGGGCAGCAGUAGAAUCUGAACCCAGACCCACCUGCACCCAGAGCCCACGAUCCUCCAACUGCAUUGCAAACAUGCCUCCCUCCCCUAUGGGGAGCAGAACAGAAUAAGCAUCUUACAUCUCUGAUAACCACAGGCUGGGUGGGACAGAAGUCAAUUAAAAACUGAGGGGCAAACGGUGACC
Choloepus didactylus (southern two-toed sloth) is the source of this 427-nucleotide long non-coding RNA. RefSeq lists it as uncharacterized. The transcript has 3 exons. Lineage: Eukaryota; Metazoa; Chordata; Mammalia; Pilosa; Megalonychidae. The record is from RefSeq and is a predicted model, not a curated record.